RNAcentral lists this ribosomal RNA (450 nucleotides) under uncultured bacterium. Its description in RNAcentral is "bacterial SSU rRNA". It matches the Rfam family "Bacterial small subunit ribosomal RNA", at positions 354 to 796 of the family's 1533-position model. The record is from RNAcentral.
GUGGGGAAUUUUGGACAAUGGGGGCAACCCUGAUCCAGCCAUGCCGCGUGAGUGAAGAAGGCCUUCGGGUUGUAAAGCUCUUUCGGCCGGGAAGAAAUCGCGCUCUCUAAUACGGGGUGUGGAUGACGGUACCGGAAGAAGAAGCACCGGCUAACUACGUGCCAGCAGCCGCGGUAAUACGUAGGGUGCGAGCGUUAAUCGGAAUUACUGGGCGUAAAGCGUGCGCAGGCGGCGCCAUAAGACAGCUGUGAAAUCCCCGGGCUUAACCUGGGAACUGCGGUUGUGACUGUGGUGCUUGAGUGCGGCAGAGGGGGGUGGAAUUCCACGUGUAGCAGUGAAAUGCGUAGAGAUGUGGAGGAACACCGAUGGCGAAGGCAGCCCCCUGGGUUGACACUGACGCUCAUGCACGAAAGCGUGGGGAGCAAACAGGAUUAGAAACCCGGGUAGUCC